Molecule: ribosomal RNA, 461 nt
Filed under: uncultured bacterium
Lineage: Bacteria
Description: partial 16S ribosomal RNA
Rfam family: Bacterial small subunit ribosomal RNA
Source: RNAcentral
CCUACGGGAGGCAGCAGUGAGGAAUAUUGGUCAAUGGGCGCGAGCCUGAACCAGCCAAGUCGCGUGAGGGAGGACGGCCCUACGGGUUGUAAACCUCUUUUGCCGGGGAGCAACGGGCGCCACGUGUGGCGCCACUGAGAGUACCCGGAGAAAAAGCAUCGGCUAACUCCGUGCCAGCAGCCGCGGUAAUACGGAGGAUGCGAGCGUUAUCCGGAUUUAUUGGGUUUAAAGGGUGCGUAGGUUGUUUUUUAAGUCAGUGGUGAAAGUUUGUGGCUCAACCAUAGAAUUGCCGUUGAAACUGGAAGACUUGAGUGUGUGUGAGGUAGGCGGAAUGCGUGGUGUAGCGGUGAAAUGCAUAGAUAUCACGCAGAACUCCGAUUGCGAAGGCAGCUUACUAGGCCAUAACUGACACUGAAGCACGAAAGCGUGGGGAUCAAACAGGAUUAGAUACCCGUGUAGUC